ACCCGCUGAACUUAAGCAUAUCAAUAAGGGGAGGAAAAGAUUCCAACAGGGAUUGCCUCAGUAACGGCGAGUGAAGCGGCAAAAGCUCAAAUUUGAAAUCUGGCGUCUUCGGCGUCCGAGUUGUAAUUUGUAGAGGUAGCUUUGGGUGUACAGCCAGGUCUAUGUUCCUUGGAACAGGACGUCAUGGAGGGUGAGAAUCCCGUAAAUGGCUUGGCCAGUGCCUAUGUAUAGCGCCUUCGACGAGUCGAGUUGUUUGGGAAUGCAGCUCUAAGUGGGUGGUAAAUUCCAUCUAAAGCUAAAUACUGGCGAGAGACCGAUAGCGCACAAGUAGAGUGAUCGAAAGGUGAAAAGCACUCCGGAAGGAGAGUUAAACAGCACGUGAAAUUGUUGAAAGGGAAGCGCUUGAGACCAGUCUCAGGUAAAGUUGAUCAACCUCCAUUCUUGGUGGUGCACUCUUCUUUGCCCGGGCCAGCAACAGUUUUGGCGGUGGUAUAAAGGUUUAGGGAAUGUGGCUCUCUUCGGGGAGUGUUAUAGCCCUAUUCGUAAUGCUCCCUGUCGAGACUGAGGACCGCGCUUCGGCUAGGUUGUUGGCAUAAUGGUCUU
RNAcentral lists this ribosomal RNA (603 nucleotides) under uncultured fungus. RNAcentral describes it as "eukaryotic LSU rRNA". It matches the Rfam family "Eukaryotic large subunit ribosomal RNA", at positions 23 to 641 of the family's 3401-position model. Lineage: Eukaryota; Fungi. The record is from RNAcentral.